Anopheles funestus (African malaria mosquito) is the source of this 1905-nucleotide long non-coding RNA. RefSeq lists it as uncharacterized. The transcript is spliced from 3 exons. The record is from RefSeq and is a predicted model, not a curated record. NCBI's taxonomy places the organism in Eukaryota, Metazoa, Arthropoda, Insecta, Diptera, Culicidae.
UCGCCGACAGGGUCACUCCGUUAGAAGCGCACGCCGCGUGUGAGACAUAAGAGCUGCAUCGGCAGUCUGGGUGCAGUGAUUGAUCGAGUUUCACGCCCAAGCCGGUGCCGCGGUUUUCGCGGCGUCAACAAUUUGGGUGCUACGAUCAAUCGCAGCCCAAAAUGCUGGUGCAUCGUUGAUCGCACGCACCACGAACCUUGCCACGGCUUUGCAUCGUCGGCAAUUUGAGUGCCGUGCAACGAUAAAAUAAGCCAGCAACAGGUGGUGCGCGUAUGGUAAACAUUAUUGUUAAGUAAGCAAAAAUUUAGUAUUUAAGAACGUUAAUUUUAACCAAUAAAGGCAGUAUGUCUAAAAGUACCCCGGUGUGGAGGCUUCAGUUAUUAGUGCUUGAGUCGGCGUGAACUGCGCCUGUCUCGAGAAGGUUUAUCCGAAAACUCGCAUAAACUACAUGGUGGCUCCAGAGAGGAAACUUCCUCACGCCUGAAACUCUCCCGCGGUGGUAUCUUAAGAAAGACAAACUCCCUCGGGACGCGUCGACGACCAAGUUUCGCGCGCGUCAAACCGUGGUAACGGCCGUCAUAGGCAACAUAAAGCCGACGAGCCACGAAAGGCGGCUCUUGUGCGAUUAGUGCAACACCGGUUACAGGUGAACAGUGAAGUUCGUCAAGUGCUAUUGACGCUUAAAAGUCACAUAGGUUCGUGACACGCGAGAAACUGUUCACUGAGAGGUGCCAGGAGCAAGAAGUGCCGAAAAAAGUAAGUUGGGGUAUCAACCCAACGACAUCAUAGUGAGAAGAAUAGGUCAGCGGUGAGCGGACGGCUCAACCUGCAGCGACCUCAUAGUGAGAAGUGUGAGUCAGCGGUGAGCGGACGGCUCAACCCACGACGACCUCAAAAGUGCAAGACAGCGGUGAGCGGACGGCUCAAUCAGUGACGAUCUUGUGAAAAGUGCCAGGCAACCCUGAGCGGACGACUCGACCCGCAACGUUCCAGAAGUGCGCAGUAUUAACGACGGUGAGCGGACGGCUCACGUUGAGGUGCUUUGAAGCGGAGGACGCCAAUCCUGAGCGGACGGCUCAACCCGCAGCGUUCCAGAAGUGAGCAGUGUUAACGACGGUGAGCGAACGGCUCACGGUGAGGUGCUUUGAAGCGGGGGACGCCAAUCCUGAGCGGACGGCUCAACCCGCAGCGUUCCAGAAGUGCGCAGUGUUUACGACGGUGAGCGGACGGCUCACGGUGAGGUGCCUUGAAGCGGAGGACGCCAGCCAAUUGAGCGGACGGCUCAAUCUACUCCCUGUAACGACGCACCGUUCGGAUCUCACAGAACAAGCUAUCCAGAGUAAGUAAAAUGGAUUACAAAUAUAAGAAAAACCCAAACGGGCACUGUAAGCUGUGUGUCAAAGAAGAUGAACAGGGAAAAAUGGCAGAAUGCAAGGAGUGUGACAGAUGGUUCCACUCAGCAUGUCUUAAUUUAAAAACGGUUCCUAGCAAGUUCACAUGUCCAAAAUGUGAACAAAUGAAGUUAGAAAAGGAACAAGCUAGGCAAACUAUAAUGCAAACUGAACGCCUAUUAUCAGAAAAGAUAGCAGCAGAAGAAAAAGAGAAGAAAGAAAAAGCAAAAUACGAAAAGGAAAUUGAACGGCUAGAAGAAAUCAUUAGGGCAGAGGAAAUCUUAAAUCAAUCAGGGACAAGCCAACACGACGUUCACGAGCUGACUAAGAAUGUCGAUAAAUUGGUAGAUGCGUGGAGCCUCGGCCCAAGCUGUCGCAAGAAUGCGUUACUGGAACUCCCAGAGUUCUACGGAAGCAGUAAAACCUGGCCAAGAUUCAAACUGCUUUUUAAAGAAACCUCGAAGACGGGAAAAUUGACAAACUUGCACAAUCUAAGCCGACUUCAAAAACACUU